AAUGAACGCUGGCGGCAGGCCUAACACAUGCAAGUCGAACGGAUCCUUCGGGAUUAGUGGCGGACGGGUGAGUAACGCGUGGGAACAUACCCAAAGGUACGGAAUAGCCUCGGGAAACUGGGAGUAAUACCGCAUGUGCUCGAAAGAGGAAAGAUUUACCGCCUUUGGAUUGGCCCGCGUUGGAUUAGGUAGUUGGUGGGGUAAUGGCCUACCAAGCCGACGAUCCAUAGCUGGUUUGAGAGGAUGAUCAGCCACACUGGGACUGAGACACGGCCCAGACUCCUACGGGAGGCAGCAGUGGGGAAUCUUAGACAAUGGGGGAAACCCUGAUCUAGCCAUGCCGCGUGAUCGAUGAAGGCCUUAGGGUUGUAAAGAUCUUUCAGGUGGGAAGAUAAUGACUGUACCACCAGGAGAAGCCCCGGCUAACUCCGUGCCAGCCGCCGCAGUAA
This 449-nucleotide ribosomal RNA is filed under the name uncultured bacterium. Its description in RNAcentral is "partial 16S ribosomal RNA". It matches the Rfam family "Bacterial small subunit ribosomal RNA", at positions 29 to 523 of the family's 1533-position model. The record is from RNAcentral.